This 1125-nucleotide long non-coding RNA is filed under the name Homo sapiens (human). RNAcentral describes it as "HSALNT0390918". The record is from RNAcentral. Lineage: Eukaryota; Metazoa; Chordata; Mammalia; Primates; Hominidae.
CUCAGGUGAUCCACCUGCCUCGGCCUCUCAAAGUGCUGGGAUUACAGGCGUGAGCCACCAUGCCUGGCAUAUAUGGCAAAGUUUUAACACCAUUUUUUACUAAGAUAAGUAUCAUAAAGGACUUUGUAAAGAAUAUAUUACAACCGAUCAGGCCAGUGGCUUUUUGUUUGUUUGUUUAGCAGGAUUUGAUUGAACCUCAUCAUGCUAUAGAUCUUCCAUUCAGGGAUGAUGAUGUGGGCAUAGUUCAGUGGAGGCUGCCUGCAAUGAAACUGGGCAGAGGCAAGAAUCGAGAGAUCAGCUUUAGCCCAGCUCCCAGGAGCACCAGAGUUAAGAAGGAUAUCUCCUAGAGGGAAAGCCAGAGACCAGGCAAGGGAACAUACAUGAACACCCAGCCUGUGCUCUGGUGUGAGGUUGCAACAGGAGUAGGAUUGGUUCAAUCAGCAUAUUUUCUUUCAUGUACUAGGUUGAAAGUAUUAGUCCAUUUUAUAGAUGAAGAAAUGGAGGCCCAGAGAGAUCACGUGACUUAGCCAAGUCCACCAACUAAUAUUGGGAAGCUCAGCAGGGUCCUGGGGGCCCACAGGAAUGUGAAUAAACACGCUUGGAAAGUCUGCAGAAUUUCCAGUCCUAGCCUCCUGCUGGUGUGAACCUGGGCUCCUGUGCCUGGGACCCUGGGAGAUUUGGGAUUAAGCCUUAUUUUGCAUUGGGUUUAAUCUCAACAGACACCGAGGGGCACCUGGAGUCCCUGCAAAACCUUGUCUGGUAUCAGCUACCUAUCAGAGGAUGCAGAGGACAAGGGCCUAGGGGAUGCCAAAUUCCAGGGUCCAGAAAGAGCUUGGGAUAAAAUGAACAUCCAAGGGGAGGGCUUUGACCUGGGCUGAGUCUGCCUGUGCCGAGUCUGCCUGUGCCAUCCAACUGGAGUCUCAAGUCCUGAGGCAGGACGUCCAGAUGCCCCAGUGCAGGGUCCUCCUGAUCAACACCUGCUCCCCUGUACUCAUUAGCAACCUCACCCACCCUACUCUCAAAGCACACUUGGCUCUCAUAUCCAGGAGCUCUGCAUCUGUAGAUUCAGCAACAGCAGAUGGAAAAUAUUCAGAAAAUAAAUUGGACAGUUAUAUUUCUAUUGAA